AUUUCCCCAGUUUUUCUCCCCAAAACGGCCGUGGUGGCGCGGGGGUUUUUGGGGAGGUGGGGGCUGUGUUGUGUUGUAUUGUUUUUUUGUUUCCCCCCCCCUCCCCGCUCUCCGUUGAGGCAGCGCCGCAGCGACGUAAAACGGCCUCAAAUUGGGCCCAAAGAGAGGAACGUUGCUAAAAAAAAUGACUAAAAAUUAGAAAAGCAAUUACAAAAACCCCCAAAAAAGAGCACAAAACCCUUUAAAAAAGAGGCAGGAAAAAUCCAAGUGAGCGGAGUAAGUACCCGCGGCGCGGUCACGGCGGCCCCAAACCCCGCUUCGGCAGCUCGGUGCGCGCCGGGGAUGCGAGCCUGACCCCAAAUGCUGCUUCCUGGGUCCUUUUUCUUCGUCGUCUUUUUUUUGCUCCGGUCCCAAAAAGCCGCUUUCUGAGCCCGUUCUGUGCUGGGGCAGCAUGGCGCUCCCAAAAUGAUGCACCCAAAAUGACGCUUUCUGUGCCUGUUUUGCCGCGCGCUGACCCCCAAAACACCCAUUUCUGAGCCCGCUUCACGCUGGCGCCACGGGGCUGACCCAAAAUUCCCCUUUCUGAGCCCAUUUCGGGUGCGUGGCUGACCCAAAAUCCCCCUUUCUGAGCCCAUUUCGGAUGCGUGGCUGACCCAAAAUCCCCCUUUCUGAGCCCAUUUCGGGUGCGUGGCUGACCCAAAAUCCCCCUUUCUGAGCCCAUUUCGGGUGCGUGGCUGACCCAAAAUCCCCCUUUCUGAGCUCAUUUCUGAUGCGUGGCUGACCCAAAAUCCCCCUUUCUGAGCCCAUUUCGGAUGCGUGGCUGACCCAAAAUCCCCAUUUCAGAUGCGUGGCUGACCCAAAAUCCCCCUUUCUGAGCCCAUUUCUGAUGCGUGGCUGACC
Long non-coding RNA from Lagopus leucura (white-tailed ptarmigan), 900 nucleotides. RefSeq lists it as uncharacterized. The transcript has 2 exons. Lineage: Eukaryota; Metazoa; Chordata; Aves; Galliformes; Phasianidae. The record is from RefSeq and is a predicted model, not a curated record.